UACAGUAACGUUAUGUGGAGAAGAGAGGAGAGUGAUUGCGAAUAAAUGUACACUUAGUUCAGUACAUCAUGGAUCUACAAAGUGAUAUCAACAAAAUUAAUUUAUUCAUAGCUAAGCUAGUUUUAGCACUGCAGUAGACAUAACAGUGAUAGACACAUGAUUUGAGAAUAUUUAAGACUUUUGACAAUAGAAAAAUACUUCCCUAGAUCAACUGUCUACUACAUAGUGAAUGCUCUAGGAAAGACUACAGAAAUACAAAACAGAUUGUCAUAUCAGUAACAGUGUGACAACUCUUAAAUUUCAAAAUGCGGCCAACACAGUUCUGUUAUGUGGAGAAGAGAGGAGAAUGAUUGCGAAUUAAUGUACACUUAGUUCAGUGCAUCAUGGAUCUACAAAGUAAUAUCAUCAAAAUUUAUUUUUUCAUAGCUAAGCCAUUUUAAGCACUGCAGUAGACAGAACAAUGAUAGUCACGUGGUUUGAGACUAAGUAAGACUUAAGACAAUAGAAAAAACUUCCUGAAAUCAGCUGUCUACUACAUAGUGAAUGAUAUGGGAAAUGCUACAGAAAUAUAAAAACAGGUCUACUACAUCGUGAAUGCUCUAGGAAAGGCUACAGAAAUAUGAAACCAGGUGUGUCCCUUCAGGAACAGUGUGACAAUUCUUAAAUUUGAACAUGCGGCUAACACAGUUCUGUUAUGUGGAGAAGAGAGGAGAAUGAUUGCGAAUUAAUGUACACUUAGUUCAGUGCAUCAUGGAUCUACAAAGUAAUACAAACAAAAUUUAUCUAUUCAUAGCAAAGCCAUUUUUAGCACUGCAGUAGACAGAACAUUGAUAAACACAUGAUUUUAGACUAUUAAAGACUUUUGACAAUAGAAAAAUACUUCCCGAGAUCAGCUGUAAGUGCUUAUACAUCACACAUAAAACAAUAUACUAAAGUAUUUUUGUAGGCUGUUGGAUAAGACAUACAUUUACACCAGUAAACUCAAACAAUAGCGUUUCUUCAAUGUGAGCACAGUUAUUUAAAAAAAAAUUAUAAUGAGUAAUGUGUUCAAAGCAGUUUGACGGAAAAUGACACAAAUCUUGCGUAAUAAAAGAAUUCAAUCUGAGUAAAAAAAUUGAAAUAUCUUCUUUCCAAUAUCUGGUUAAAGAUGGCAGGAACAAGUUGUGAUGUACCAGAACACAUGUCCCACACAGAAAAUUUGUUAUAGUUAAGUAAUAAAACAUAUAAUUGCA
This is a long non-coding RNA of Mytilus californianus (California mussel), 1232 nucleotides long. RefSeq lists it as uncharacterized. The transcript is spliced from 4 exons. The record is from RefSeq and is a predicted model, not a curated record. NCBI's taxonomy places the organism in Eukaryota, Metazoa, Mollusca, Bivalvia, Mytilida, Mytilidae.